RNAcentral lists this long non-coding RNA (226 nucleotides) under Gallus gallus (chicken). Lineage: Eukaryota; Metazoa; Chordata; Aves; Galliformes; Phasianidae. The record is from RNAcentral.
GGAUUUUCCUGGCGACUCUGCAGGGCUUGGAAUCUGACCUUGAGGCACUAUUUUACAGCUAGCUGCAAUGGGUUGAAAGGCUGAAUUUCCAUGAGAGCCAAAGGGAACUUUCUGUGUGGCUAAUUUGGUGGGAGUCCGUUCUAUCGAAGAUGGCAGGGAAUAAAACGUGGCAUGUCUUUCAGUUUCAGCAUUCCCAGGGAAUCCUUUGUCAACAGACGCAUCUGGG